UACGUAGGGGGCAAGCGUUACUCGGAAUUACUGGGCGUAAAGGGUGAGUAGGCGGCUGAGCAAGUCAAGGAUGAAAGCCCGAGGCUCAACUUCGGAAUUGUCCUUGAAACUGCUAAUCUUGAGGGUAGUUGAGGAGAGUGGAAUUCCCGGUGGAGCGGUGAAAUGCGUAGAUAUCGGGAGGAUCACCUGAGGCGAAGGCGGCUCUCUAAGUUAUUCCUGACGCUGAAUCACGAAAGCUAGGGGAUCAAACGGG
Molecule: ribosomal RNA, 253 nt
Filed under: uncultured bacterium
Lineage: Bacteria
Description: partial 16S ribosomal RNA
Rfam family: Bacterial small subunit ribosomal RNA
Source: RNAcentral